AGUGAACGCUGGCGGCGUGCUUAACACAUGCAAGUCGAACGGUAACAGGAACUAGCUUGCUAGUUUGCUGACGAGUGGCGCACGGGUGAGUAAUAUAUAGUUAAUGUACCCCAAAGACUGGGAUAGCCACUGGAAACGGUGAUUAAUACUAGAUACACCUCUUUAAUAUAAGUUAGAGAGGGAAAUGUCUUUUCGCUUUGGGAUCAGACUAUAUCCUAUCAGUUAGUUGGUGAGGUAAUGGCUCACCAAGGCAAUGACGGGUAGCGGUUCUGAGAGGAUGAUCCGCCACACUGGUACUGAGACACGGACCAGACUCCUACGGGAGGCAGCAGUGAGGAAUAUUGCACAAUGGGGGGAACCCUGAUGCAGCAACGCCGCGUGGAGGAUGACGCAUUUCGGUGUGUAAACUCCUUUUAUAUGUCAAGAAAAUGACGGUAGCAUAUGAAUAAGCACCGGCUAACUCCGUGCCAGCAGCCGCGGUAAAG
Molecule: ribosomal RNA, 485 nt
Filed under: uncultured bacterium
Lineage: Bacteria
Description: bacterial SSU rRNA
Rfam family: Bacterial small subunit ribosomal RNA
Source: RNAcentral